Molecule: long non-coding RNA, 349 nt
Filed under: Ictidomys tridecemlineatus (thirteen-lined ground squirrel)
Lineage: Eukaryota; Metazoa; Chordata; Mammalia; Rodentia; Sciuridae
Description: lncRNA (ENSSTOG00000033609.1)
Source: RNAcentral
CUAGCACAUGGCAUCAGGUAGGGGACUUCCUGAACAUACUCUAUGUCACCUUUGGUGAAAUUACAGAUCAUUAUGUCUACAAAGUGGAGACUGUUGCAGGUCAUGUCUGGUGAUAAAGCUGGAUGAUAUGAGCCUGGGUGCCACCAACAGUCAGAUUCCUGGUGACUUGGAGAAGACCAAGAAGAAGACUGAGAAGAGUUCAAGAUAGAAUACUAGUUUGAUUUUUAUCAGGUCAUAAUUUCUGUAAUUCAGUUAUAUAAUUUAAAAAAUUCCAUUUGUUGUUUGCAAUCAAAAGAAUUCUAACAAAUUCUGAUGUGGUAUAAAAGCAAUAAAGUUCCUGAAAAUAAGC